Molecule: ribosomal RNA, 498 nt
Filed under: uncultured bacterium
Lineage: Bacteria
Description: partial 16S ribosomal RNA
Rfam family: Bacterial small subunit ribosomal RNA
Source: RNAcentral
GACGAACGCUGGCGGCGUGCCUAAUACAUGCAAGUCGAACGAGAGCGACCGGUGCUUGCACUGGUCAAUCUAGUGGCGAACGGGUGAGUAACACGUGGGUAACCUGCCCAUCAGAGGGGGAUAACAUUCGGAAACGGAUGCUAAAACCGCAUAGGUCUUCGAACCGCAUGGUUUGAAGAGGAAAAGAGGCGCAAGCUUCUGCUGAUGGAUGGACCCGCGGUGCAUUAGCUAGUUGGUGAGGUAACGGCUCACCAAGACCGUGAUGCAUAGCCGACCUGAGAGGGUGAUCGGCCACAUUGGGACUGAGACACGGCCCAAACUCCUACGGGAGGCAGCAGUAGGGAAUCUUCCGCAAUGGACGCAAGUCUGACGGAGCAACGCCGCGUGAGUGAAGAAGGUUUUCGGAUCGUAAAACUCUGUUGUUAGAGAAGAACAAGUGCUAGAGUAACUGUUAGCGCCUUGACGGUAUCUAACCAGAAAGCCACGGCUAACUACGUG